CUCAAGAAGUUAGCGGCGGACGGGUGAGUAACACGUGGGUAACCUGCCCAUAAGACUGGGAUAACUCCGGGAAACCGGGGCUAAUACCGGAUAACAUUUUGAACUGCAUGGUUCGAAAUUGAAAGGCGGCUUCGGCUGUCACUUAUGGAUGGACCCGCGUCGCAUUAGCUAGUUGGUGAGGUAACGGCUCACCAAGGCAACGAUGCGUAGCCGACCUGAGAGGGUGAUCGGCCACACUGGGACUGAGACACGGCCCAGACUCCUACGGGAGGCAGCAGUAGGGAAUCUUCCGCAAUGGACGAAAGUCUGACGGAGCAACGCCGCGUGAGUGAUGAAGGCUUUCGGGUCGUAAAACUCUGUUGUUAGGGAAGAACAAGUGCUAGUUGAAUAAGCUGGCACCUUGACGGUACCUAACCAGAAAGCCACGGCUAACUACGUGCCAGCAG
This 446-nucleotide ribosomal RNA is filed under the name Bacillus thuringiensis. Its description in RNAcentral is "bacterial SSU rRNA". It matches the Rfam family "Bacterial small subunit ribosomal RNA", at positions 83 to 514 of the family's 1533-position model. Lineage: Bacteria; Bacillati; Bacillota; Bacilli; Caryophanales; Bacillaceae. The record is from RNAcentral.